MicroRNA precursor from Tursiops truncatus (common bottlenose dolphin), 70 nucleotides. Lineage: Eukaryota; Metazoa; Chordata; Mammalia; Artiodactyla; Delphinidae. The record is from Ensembl.
UUGGCCAAAAGGUUCGUUUGGGUUUUUCCAUAAGAUGUUACAAAAAAGCCUGAACGAACUUUUUGGCCAA